GAUGAACGCUAGCGGCAGGCCUAAUACAUGCAAGUCGUGGGGCAGCAGGGGUAGCAAUACCUGCUGGCGACCGGCAAACGGGUGCGGAACACGUACGCAACCUUCCUUUAACUGGAGAAUAGCCCCUCGAAAGAGGGAUUAAUACUCCGUAACAUGUACAUGUGGCAUCACAAGUAUAUUAUAGCUCCGGCGGUUAAAGAUGGGCGUGCGCCUGAUUAGAUAGUUGGCGGGGUAACGGCCCACCAAGUCUGCGAUCAGUAACUGGUGUGAGAGCACGACCAGUCACACGGGCACUGAGACACGGGCCCGAUCCCACGGGAGCAGCAGUAAGGAAUAUUGGUCAAUGGACGCAAGUCUGAACCAGCCAUGCCGCGUGGAGGAUUAAGGGCCCCU
RNAcentral lists this ribosomal RNA (393 nucleotides) under uncultured bacterium. RNAcentral's name for it is "bacterial SSU rRNA". It matches the Rfam family "Bacterial small subunit ribosomal RNA", at positions 28 to 420 of the family's 1533-position model. The record is from RNAcentral.